This 809-nucleotide ribosomal RNA is filed under the name uncultured bacterium. RNAcentral's name for it is "bacterial SSU rRNA". It matches the Rfam family "Bacterial small subunit ribosomal RNA", at positions 8 to 796 of the family's 1533-position model. The record is from RNAcentral.
AGAGUUUGAUCAUGGCUCAGAACGAACGCUGGCGGCGUGCCUAACACAUGCAAGUCGAGGGAGAAAGCCCGCAAGGGUUAGUAAACCGGCGAACGGGUGCGUAACACGUGGAUAAUCUACCUCGGUGACCGGGAUAACUGGCCGAAAGGCUUGCUAAUACCGGAUAAGCCCACGUCGUCUUCGGACGAUGAGGGAAAAGGUGGCCUCUGCAUGCAAGCUAUCACACCGGGAUGAGUCCGCGGCCCAUCAGCUAGUUGGCGGGGUAAUGGCCCACCAAGGCUACGACGGGUAGCUGGUCUGAGAGGAUGAUCAGCCACACUGGAACUGAGACACGGUCCAGACUCCUACGGGAGGCAGCAGUGGGGAAUCUUGCGCAAUGGGCGAAAGCCUGACGCAGCAACGCCGCGUGUGUGAUGAAGGUCUUCGGAUCGUAAAGCACUGUCGCGAGGGAAGAGAUGCGCGGGGAUAACACCCCCGCGCUAGGACGGUACCUCGAGAGGAAGCACCGGCUAACUCUGUGCCAGCAGCCGCGGUAAUACAGAGGGUGCGAGCGUUGUUCGGAAUCAUUGGGCGUAAAGCGCUUGUAGGCGGCUUGUUAAGUCGCGUGUGAAAUCCCUUGGCUCAACCAAGGAAGUGCGCGCGAAACUGGCGAGCUCGAGUGCCGGAGAGGGUCGCGGAAUUCCCGGUGUAGAGGUGAAAUUCGUAGAUAUCGGGAGGAACACCAGUGGCGAAGGCGGCGACCUGGACGGACACUGACGCUGAGACGCGAAAGCGUGGGGAGCAAACAGGAUUAGAUACCCCCGUAGUCC